GACGAACGCUGGCGGCGUGCUUAACACAUGCAAGUCGAGCGGUAAGGACCCUUUCGGGGGUACACGAGCGGCGAACGGGUGAGUAACACGUGGGUGACCUGCCCUCCAGCUCUGGGAUAAGCCUGGGAAACCGGGUCUAAUACUGGAUAUGACUCCAUGACGCAUGUUGUGGGGUGGAAAGCCUUGUGCGGCUGAGGAUGGGCCCGCGGCCUAUCAGCUUGUUGGUGGGGUGANGGCCUACCAAGGCGACGACGGGUAGCCGGCCUGAGAGGGCGACCGGCCACACUGGGACUGAGACACGGCCCAGACUCCUACGGGAGGCAGCAGGUGGGGAAUCUUGCGCAAUGGGCGAAAGCCCUGACGCAGCGACGCCGCGUGAGGGAUGACGGCC
Molecule: ribosomal RNA, 391 nt
Filed under: uncultured bacterium
Lineage: Bacteria
Description: bacterial SSU rRNA
Rfam family: Bacterial small subunit ribosomal RNA
Source: RNAcentral